This is a non-coding RNA of Trichoplax adhaerens, 101 nucleotides long. Lineage: Eukaryota; Metazoa; Placozoa; Uniplacotomia; Trichoplacea; Trichoplacidae. The record is from Rfam.
GUAUUGAUAGCUAAGUUUGGUUUAAAGCAGCCGCUUGCUAAGCGGAUGGUGGUGCGGACUCGAUUUCGCUCCUCCCACAGGUUCAAAUCCUGUUCAAUACC